GGCUCGUCCGAAGGUAGCGGGUUAUCUCAAUUGAUUGUUCACAGUUACAGAUCGAACUUGUUCUACUUCCUCCCACCCCUUCUCACUACUGCACUUGACUAGUCUUUU
Unclassified non-coding RNA from Cercocebus atys (sooty mangabey), 108 nucleotides. It matches the Rfam family "Y RNA". From Rfam's summary of the family: Y RNAs are components of the Ro ribonucleoprotein particle (Ro RNP), in association with Ro60 and La proteins. NCBI's taxonomy places the organism in Eukaryota, Metazoa, Chordata, Mammalia, Primates, Cercopithecidae. The record is from Ensembl.